RNAcentral lists this ribosomal RNA (524 nucleotides) under uncultured bacterium. Its description in RNAcentral is "bacterial SSU rRNA". It matches the Rfam family "Bacterial small subunit ribosomal RNA", at positions 791 to 1316 of the family's 1533-position model. The record is from RNAcentral.
UAGUCCACGCCGUAAACGAUGGUUACUAGCUGUUUGGUUUUCGGACUGAGUGGCUAAGCGAAAGUGAUAAGUAACCCACCUGGGGAGUACGAUCGCAAGAUUGAAACUCAAAGGAAUUGACGGGGGCCCGCACAAGCGGUGGAGCAUGUGGUUUAAUUCGAUGAUACGCGAGGAACCUUACCUAGGCUUAAAUGUUAUAUGAGAACUUGUGAAAGCAAGCUUCCCCUGUGGUAUAUAAUAAGGUGCUGCAUGGCUGUCGUCAGCUCGUGCUGUGAGGUGUCGGGUUAAGUCCCAUAACGAGCGCAACCCCUAUCUUUAGUUACCAUCGAGUUAAGUCGGGGACUUUAAAGAAACUGCCCGUGUAAACGGAGAGGAAGGUGGGGACGACGUCAAGUCAUCACGGCCCUUACGUCUAGGGGCUACACACGUGCUACAAUGGUAGAUACAGAGUGCUGCUUCUUGGGUGACAAGUUUGCUAAUCACUAAAAUCUAUCUCAGUUCGGGAUUGAAGUCUGCAACUCGAC